GGCUUUAUAGUCAAUUAUGAUAUUAGACUGCAAUUCUAAAGGAGUAAUAAAAAUUAUUACUAAGGCUU
This 68-nucleotide transfer RNA is filed under the name Atylotus miser. Its description in RNAcentral is "tRNA-Cys". Lineage: Eukaryota; Metazoa; Arthropoda; Insecta; Diptera; Tabanidae. The record is from RNAcentral.